Long non-coding RNA from Saccostrea echinata, 360 nucleotides. RefSeq lists it as uncharacterized. Lineage: Eukaryota; Metazoa; Mollusca; Bivalvia; Ostreida; Ostreidae. The record is from RefSeq and is a predicted model, not a curated record. The transcript is spliced from 2 exons.
AACUGGUGGAGGUCUCAGAAGAAGACAUUGACGUAUUUGAGACACUAGAUGAGGAUAAAGACGAACACCUGAAUACAGAUGAGAUGAAAAAAUAUUUUUCUCUUCCCAAUGUUGUUGAAUUGUUCGGCGAUAUGGCAAGUGACGAGAAUAGCGUGGCUUUCCUGACUCAAACGAUCAUGAACAUGGGCGAUACUAAUGGUGAUGAUGUCAUUUCCCGUGAGGAAUUCUACGCCAUUGAAGAUUUCCAAAAACUUCAGCAAAAGGAAAAAGAGGAAAAUGAGAUCGAAUUUAGAGAUGAACUGUGAUAUUCUUACAUGUGCUUUAUUUUUAUUUAUAAUAAAAUUGAGUGUAUAAAAAACG